CCUACGUGGAGCAGCAGUGAGGAAUAUUGGUCAAUGGGCUUACGCCUGAACCAGCCAAGUCGCGUGAGGGAAGACUGCCCUAUGGGUUGUAAACCUCUUUUGUCAGGGAGCAAUUGGCGCUACGUGUAGCGUUAUCGAGAGUACCUGAAGAAAAAGCAUCGGCUAACUCCGUGCCAGCAGCCGCGGUAAUAAGGAGGAUGCGAGCGUUAUCCGGAUGUAUUGGGUUUAAAGGGUGCGUAGGCGGAAUGCCCAGUCAGCGGUAAAAUCUCGGGGCUCCACCUCGCUCCGCCGUUGAAACGGGCGUUCUUGAGGGGGCGAGAAGUAUGCGGAAUGCGUGGUGUAGCGGUGAAAUGCAUAG
This 358-nucleotide ribosomal RNA is filed under the name uncultured bacterium. RNAcentral describes it as "partial 16S ribosomal RNA". It matches the Rfam family "Bacterial small subunit ribosomal RNA", at positions 338 to 693 of the family's 1533-position model. The record is from RNAcentral.